GCGUUCUGUAAGCCUGUGAAGGUGGCCUGUGAGGGUUGCUGGAGGUAUCAGAAGUGCGAAUGCUGACAUAAGUAACGAUAAAGCGGGUGAAAAGCCCGCUCGCCGGAAGACCAAGGGUUCCUGUCCAACGUUAAUCGGGGCAGGGUGAGUCGACCCCUAAGGCGAGGCCGAAAGGCGUAGUCGAUGGGAAACAGGUUAAUAUUCCUGUACUUGGUGUUACUGCGAAGGGGGGACGGAGAAGGCUAUGUUGGCCGGGCGACGGUUGUCCCGGUUUAAGCGUGUAGGCUGGUUUUCCAGGCAAAUCCGGAAAACCAAGGCUGAGGCGUGAUGACGAGGCACUACGGUGCUGAAGCGACAAAUGCCCUGCUUCCAGGAAAAGCCUCUAAGCAUCAGGUAACAUCAAAUCGUACCCCAAACCGACACAGGUGGUCAGGUAGAGAAUACCAAGGCGCUUGAGAGAACUCGGGUGAAGGAACUAGGCAAAAUGGUGCCGUAACUUCGGGAGAAGGCACGCUGAUAUGUAGGUGAAGCGACUUGCUCGUGGAGCUGAAAUCAGUCGAAGAUACCAGCUGGCUGCAACUGUUUAUUAAAAACACAGCACUGUGCAAACACGAAAGUGGACGUAUACGGUGUGACGCCUGCCCGGUGCCGGAAGGUUAAUUGAUGGGGUUAGCGGCAACGCGAAGCUCUUGAUCGAAGCCCCGGUAAACGGCGGCCGUAACUAUAACGGUCCUAAGGUAGCGAAAUUCCUUGUCGGGUAAGUUCCGACCUGCACGAAUGGCGUAAUGAUGGCCAGGCUGUCUCCACCCGAGACUCAGUGAAAUUGAACUCGCUGUGAAGAUGCAGUGUACCCGCGGCAAGACGGAAAGACCCCGUGAACCUUUACUAUAGCUUGACACUGAACAUUGAGCCUUGAUGUGUAGGAUAGGUGGGAGGCUUUGAAGUGUGGACGCCAGUCUGCAUGGAGCCGACCUUGAAAUACCACCCUUUAAUGUUUGAUGUUCUAACGUUGGCCCGUAAUCCGGGUUGCGGACAGUGUCUGGUGGGUAGUUUGACUGGGGCGGUCUCCUCCUAAAGAGUAACGGAGGAGCACGAAGGUUGGCUAAUCCUGGUCGGACAUCAGGAGGUUAGUGCAAUGGCAUAAGCCAGCUUGACUGCGAGCGUGACGGCGCGAGCAGGUGCGAAAGCAGGUCAUAGUGAUCCGGUGGUUCUGAAUGGAAGGGCCAUCGCUCAACGGAUAAAAGGUACUCCGGGGAUAACAGGCUGAUACCGCCCAAGAGUUCAUAUCGACGGCGGUGUUUGGCACCUCGAUGUCGGCUCAUCACAUCCUGGGGCUGAAGUAGGUCCCAAGGGUAUGGCUGUUCGCCAUUUAAAGUGGUACGCGAGCUGGGUUUAGAACGUCGUGAGACAGUUCGGUCCCUAUCUGCCGUGGGCGCUGGAGAACUGAGGGGGGCUGCUCCUAGUACGAGAGGACCGGAGUGGACGCAUCACUGGUGUUCGGGUUGUCAUGCCAAUGGCACUGCCCGGUAGCUAAAUGCGGAAGAGAUAAGUGCUGAAAGCAUCUAAGCACGAAACUUGCCCCGAGAUGAGUUCUCCCUGACUCCUUGAGAGUCCUGAAGGAACGUUGAAGACGACGACGUUGAUAGGCCGGGUGUGUAAGCGCAGCGAUGCGUUGAGCUAACCGGUACUAAUGAACCGUGAG
RNAcentral lists this ribosomal RNA (1702 nucleotides) under Escherichia coli. RNAcentral's name for it is "partial 23S ribosomal RNA". It matches the Rfam family "Bacterial large subunit ribosomal RNA", at positions 1236 to 2915 of the family's 2925-position model. Lineage: Bacteria; Pseudomonadati; Pseudomonadota; Gammaproteobacteria; Enterobacterales; Enterobacteriaceae. The record is from RNAcentral.